AGCCGCCAAGCGCAGCCCGCGGAGAGGGGUGCCGCGGCUUCCCGCCCCUGGCCUAGCGCGGCCGAGAGCUCCUGCGCCUGGAGGCUGGGUGGGCGUCCGGCGCGCGGGAGGCGGCCCGGGGCUCCCGGGCGGGCUCCGGCAGGUGUGUGCGGAAGGCUCAGCAUCGUCCCCGCCCGGCGGGCCACGGCGUCGCUCCGGGAGCAAAUGGUGUCCCGGGGCCCGCGGCCCCCGCGCCGCCCGGGCGCCCCGCAUUCCUCUCGCGUUUCUCGGGCUGCACGAUUCCGGCUGCCCUGUCUGCCUGGCGGUGCCUCUCGGGUCUGAGCUUAAAGCGGGUGGGUGCAAACCUUUGGGCAUCCAGGGAGAGCUUUCUUGUUAGAGCCCACACACAAUCGGGCGCAUCAAGUGGGUAAGUCCCCCUCCCCCGCCGCCACCUUCUGAAACAAGUAGCUCUUAUUUACCCUUGCAGUUCUCAAGUGGGUCCCAUUUUUAGCCACUGAGUGCUGAAAAGUCUAGUGGGAAGGGACCAGGCGUAGAGUCGGAGGGAGAAAUUGGUUUCUAUUUCCAUCUUUACCUCUGUAACCCCUAAGUGCCUCGGUUUACCCAGCCAUGAAAUGGGAUUCGUAAUGCCAGCAGUUUCCUACCCCUCCAAGACGGCAGAAAAACCUCUGUGAAAACACUUUGAGUCUAAAUUCAUUUAAGAGUCGCUGUUGCUGGUCUGUAUAUUUUUAAUUGUACACACAUUUGAGUGUUAAUGUGGUGCACACUUUUAUAUGAAAUUAUGAAAUUUACUUUAAAGACUGAUCUUGGAUAAUGUUUAAUCCAAAUACCAGUUUGGAGAAGAUGGAAGAGUUUGUGUGGACCCUAGGAAUUGAUGUGUGAAAUAGGAAAAAAGAUUUAAUAAAAUCUUUACGCAGUCAUAAAUGGAGUUGAGAAAAAUUGACCUUGGAUUGUGGUGUUUUAAGUGAGUUACUCCCGUGCCAGCGCAUGGUGUCGAUUGAAAUGUAGCUUCAUCUUUGUGUAGCCGAUUAAGGUAAUAAGUUAGAGAAUCCCAGCUCCCUUUUAAUUGUGCUAUAUAUGAGGAAUUUUUAUCCUUGCUUAUCUUUUCCUUAAAUUGGGCGAAACGAAAUUAGAAAAGUGUAUUCCCGCCGUGUUAGAAAAUAUGAAAGAAUGGGUGAAGAACCAUGGAUUUUAGUUUAUUUGCCACGCCCCUCCUGUGCCAUCUGAUAACCCAGAGAAUAUUUUGAGGGUGCUUCUUUUUUUUUCUACGCCUGCAACUCCUUUUGUCCCAUUACCUCCCUCUGGAGUUUGAAUCUUUACUGUCCUCAUCCUUGAGAUGAAUUUUAUCUGUUUAGGCUGGAUGCCUCUGACCCAGCUGCCCAAUCAGUCAUUAUUUAUUUACAGUAUUAGAUUUCCAUUUAUAUUCAUUUCACUCUAAGCCUUCUUUACCCUGGUGGAAAGAAUAAUGGGUCUUUGCUACUAAUGCUUUAUACUUGGAGGUGAACUAGGAAUGGCAUGCUCAAGGUGCUGAGACUAAUGCAAACCCCAGGGAAGCUAGGUCUUCACUGGAGUCUUCUGAAUAGGUCCUGGAGUACAGAUGCAAGAGUUGGCCUGUCUUUUCCUUGAUUUUCUGAAAUCUCCACUGGGUAAAUUCAUCUGAUUGCCAAGGGAAGUCUUAUGAGCAGGGAGCUAUCAGAAAUCUGAGUGUUAGACUGAUUAAGAGCCUUCCCUGCAAAAGACUGGGGAGAAAGAAGUAGUGGCUUUGUAGGUGUUGGAGAGUCCUCCCUGUAACCAGAUAACUAGUAGGAAGUAAAGGAUCCCUAGAUUCCCAAUUGAGAAAUGGGAAAGGGGCUGGGUUUCAAAAGGGAAGUGGCACAGCUUCUAGGCAGGUUUGGGAAUGUACCUGAGGUUUGAUGGGCCCUUCUCCCUCUUUCUCUUUGAGAGUGUUUCUGGCUCCUCAGAGUCAAGCACAGCUGUCUUAACAGUUUUCAGACCUGUUUACUCUCCUCUUUGGUGCUCUAAAGGAGGCCCAGCGUUCAUGUUCCUCUCUCAAAGCUGGUCUUGCAUGUAUUAGAGGAAAAUGGGCAGUUUAGUUUGUAAGAAACUCUUUAGACCUCAGUGUCUCUCCCCACCCUUCUUUCCAAAUUAGUCCCACAUCCUACAGAUUAAGGAUUUGUUUGGGCUUCAAUAUCUCAAACUGGGAUACUCAGUUUGGCUGAGAAGAGUAAACUGAACAGUCUACACUAAGAUAUGAAAAGCUAGCUUUUCUGUUAAGGAAGAUAAUGAAUUAAUUGUCUGGGUGAGAAUUAUGGGCAUUUGGACAAAGGAGGGCCAGACUGGGGGUGGAGUUGUGCUGGACAACUUGUGCCCUCGUCCUUGAGAGAGGAAAGGAUACCACCAAACUAGUGCAGUCACCCUGUUGUGCUUUUUCUUCUUCCAUUUGCCUUGAGAGAAGAAGAAGAUAGCAGUAUGGAGGUGGAGUCACCAUCUGUUCUCAAGGAUGGGAAACAGACUUUAACUGAACAUUAGGAAUGAGCUGUAUUCACCUGGCAUUGGUAUCAGGCGCUGGAUGGAUUACACCAGAGAAUACAUUACAUUAGGAAACACAGUGCCUGGCUCAUGGUGGACCAGAGACAGAUGGAUGGACUGUUUUUUGAUGUGAAGACUGAAUUAGCCCUGGCAGUGCUGUUUCCCAGGGCCCUAUCUCUGGGAGUCCUCCUGCUGGAAGGGAAGUGCUCUCAUAGCUGAUAGUUAAGACAUGUACAGUCAUGCAUUGCUUAACAAUGGGGAUACAUUCUAAGAAAUGUGUCCUUAACACAAUUUUAUCAUUGUGUGAACAUCAUAGAGUGCACUUAACACAAACCUAGAUGGAAUAGCCUACCAC
This 2881-nucleotide long non-coding RNA is filed under the name Homo sapiens (human). RNAcentral describes it as "HSALNT0294002". Lineage: Eukaryota; Metazoa; Chordata; Mammalia; Primates; Hominidae. The record is from RNAcentral.